AGAGGUGUCUAACUCUUGGAAAGCUUUCUCCUAAAGCACAGGACUGCUGGGGAUAUUUGUGUGCAUCCAAGUAAUUUCUGUCUGACAGACUCCAAACUGGGAUGGCAGCAGGGUGAUCACAGUGUCACCUCACCUGGGAGGGCUGAGGUGGCUGCCUGGCUGUUACAAUUUAUCAUGAACUCAUCUCACUUCACUUCUGGCUCCUCUGACAGAAGGAACAGCCGGUCUCCGGGAGGUCAAAGACAUUAUUUUCCCCUAGUCUUUCUCAGUUUCCAGCACGUAUUUGUCACUUUGAAAAAGCAUGAAUUCUGGAUUUGAUGCACUUUAAUUGAUUUCACCCUCAACAAGUCCAACUGUCCAUCAACCUUUCCUUUUUCUUUCCUCUCCCCCUCCUUCACUUCUUUCCUCUGUCCCUUUGCUUUGAGAGUGAUGUUUUCACCCGCCUGCACGUUGGAGCUGUUGCAAAGCCCGUGACCCUAUCAAGGCUCACUGUCACUAGCCAUUGCUCUCAUUUUCCUUAUCCUCCAAGCUGAAUUCUGGAUGCUGAAUGAGAAUGAAGUAGGAGUGUUGGUCUGGUAAUAUCUCAGUGAUGUUCUCCUUGUAACAGUGAAAGCGGCAGCUGAUGGUCCGCUUAUUUUGAGACAACUGUGUAGAACGGGAAAUGUGAGUGGAUUCAUUCAUUAUAUGCUGGCAUCGGUAUUUAAAACAAUUUGCAGUGUUAUGGCAGAGAUGAACGUGCUGUUUCUUCUUUCCUCCUGGAAGGAUGCGUGUUCCUGGUGCUGUGCAUAUAUCCAGGGUUGUGUGGUUGUAAAUUUGGUGUGUAAAGUGGCAUUGUCUCCUGAUAAAUGGAGGUCAUAGAAUCAUAGAACAUCCUGAGUUGCAAGACAUCCACAAGGACCAUCCCAAGAAUCCUAUGAGGUGCCAUCACACACUUGUUUGGUGAAUUUUUCUGGCACGAGUGGCAAUACGGAAUAAAUGUGGGUAUGUAACAA
This is a long non-coding RNA of Hirundo rustica (Barn swallow), 992 nucleotides long. RefSeq lists it as uncharacterized. The transcript is spliced from 2 exons. Lineage: Eukaryota; Metazoa; Chordata; Aves; Passeriformes; Hirundinidae. The record is from RefSeq and is a predicted model, not a curated record.